Molecule: small nuclear RNA, 18 nt
Filed under: Arabidopsis thaliana (thale cress)
Lineage: Eukaryota; Viridiplantae; Streptophyta; Magnoliopsida; Brassicales; Brassicaceae
Description: snRNA_01920
Source: RNAcentral
CGCUAAUUCCUCGCAAAA